GGGCCUGUAGCUUAGUUGGUAGAGCGCCACAUUUGCAAUGUGGAGAUCGCCGGUUCAAAUCCGGCCGGGUCCACCA
This 76-nucleotide transfer RNA is filed under the name Candidatus Nealsonbacteria bacterium CG15_BIG_FIL_POST_REV_8_21_14_020_37_12. Its description in RNAcentral is "tRNA-Ala". It matches the Rfam family "tRNA". From Rfam's summary of the family: Transfer RNA (tRNA) molecules are approximately 80 nucleotides in length. Their secondary structure includes four short double-helical elements and three loops (D, anti-codon, and T loops). Further hydrogen bonds mediate the characteristic L-shaped molecular structure. tRNAs have two regions of fundamental functional importance: the anti-codon, which is responsible for specific mRNA codon recognition, and the 3' end, to which the tRNAs corresponding amino acid is attached (by aminoacyl-tRNA synthetases). tRNAs cope with the degeneracy of the genetic code in two manners: having more than one tRNA (with a specific anti-codon) for a particular amino acid; and 'wobble' base-pairing, i.e. permitting non-standard base-pairing at the 3rd anti-codon position. The record is from RNAcentral. Lineage: Bacteria; Candidatus Nealsoniibacteriota.